UAACAGAGGGAAACUUCUGAUAAUACUGGAUAAGUUAGUAUAUCGCAUGAUAUGCAAAUGAAAGCUACGGCACUAAAGGAGAGCUUUGCGUCCUAUUAGCUAGUUGGUAAGGUAAGAGCUUACCAAGGCGAUGAUAGGUAGCCGGCCUGAGAGGGUGGACGGCCACAAGGGGACUGAGAUACGGCCCUUACUCCUACGGGAGGCAGCAGUU
Molecule: ribosomal RNA, 211 nt
Filed under: uncultured Leptotrichia sp.
Lineage: Bacteria; Fusobacteriati; Fusobacteriota; Fusobacteriia; Fusobacteriales; Leptotrichiaceae
Description: partial 16S ribosomal RNA
Rfam family: Bacterial small subunit ribosomal RNA
Source: RNAcentral